GACGAACGCUGGCGGCGUGCUUAACACAUGCAAGUCGAACGGAAAGGCCCUGCUUUUGUGGGGUGCUCGCGUGGCGAACGGGUGAGUAACACGUGAGUAAACUGCCCUUGACUUUGGGAUAACUUCAGGAAACUGGGGCUAAUACCGGAUAGGAGUUCCUGCUGCAUGGUGGGGGUUGGAAAGUUUCGGCGGUUGGGGCUGGACUCGCGGCUUAUCAGCUUGUUGGUGGGGUAGUGGCUUACCAAGGCUUUGACGGGUAGCCGGCCUUAGAGGGUGACCGGGCACAUUGGGACUGAGAGACGGCCCAGACUCCUACGGGAGGCAGCAGUGGGGAAUAUUGCACAAUGGGCCGAAGCCUGAUGCAGCAACGCCGCGUGCGGGAUGACGGCCUUCGGGUUGUAAACCACUUUCGCCGGUGACGAAGCGUGAGUGACGGUAAUUGGUAAAGAAGCACCGGCUAACUACGUG
RNAcentral lists this ribosomal RNA (468 nucleotides) under uncultured bacterium. RNAcentral describes it as "partial 16S ribosomal RNA". It matches the Rfam family "Bacterial small subunit ribosomal RNA", at positions 28 to 507 of the family's 1533-position model. The record is from RNAcentral.